AGAGUUUGAUCAUGGCUCAGGACGAACGCUGGCGGCGUGCUUAACACAUGCAAGUCGAGCGGAAAGGCCCUUCGGGGUACUCGAGCGGCGAACGGGUGAGUAACACGUGAGUAAUCUGCCCCAGGCUCUGGGAUAGCCACCGGAAACGGUGAUUAAUACCGGAUACGACAACCGAUUGCAUGAUCUGGUUGUGGAAAGUUUUUCGGCCUGGGAUGUGCUCGCGGCCUAUCAGCUUGUUGGUGAGGUAAUGGCUCACCAAGGCUUCGACGGGUAGCCGGCCUGAGAGGGUGACCGGCCACACUGGGACUGAGACACGGCCCAGACUCCUACGGGAGGCAGCAGUGGGGAAUAUUGGACAAUGGGCGGAAGCCUGAUCCAGCAACGCCGCGUGAGGGAUGACGGCCUUCGGGUUGUAAACCUCUUUCAGCACAGACGAAGCGCAAGUGACGGUAUGUGCAGAAGAAGGACCGGCCAACUACGUGCCAGCAGCCGCGGUAAUACGUAGGGUCCGAGCGUUGUCCGGAAUUAUUGGGCGUAAAGGGCUCGUAGGCGGUCUGUCGCGUCGGGAGUGAAAACCAGGUGCUUAACACCUGGCCUGCUUUCGAUACGGGCAGACUAGAGGUACUCAGGGGAGAAUGGAAUUCCUGGUGUAGCGGUGAAAUGCGCAGAUAUCAGGAGGAACACCGGUGGCGAAGGCGGUUCUCUGGGAGUAUCCUGACGCUGAGGAGCGAAAGUGUGGGGAGCGAACAGGAUUAGAUACCCUGGUAGUCCACACCGUAAACGUUGGGCGCUAGGUGUGGGAUCCAUUCCACGGGUUCCGUGCCGCAGCUAACGCAUUAAGCGCCCCGCCUGGGGAGUACGGCCGCAAGGCUAAAACUCAAAGGAAUUGACGG
This 893-nucleotide ribosomal RNA is filed under the name uncultured bacterium. RNAcentral's name for it is "bacterial SSU rRNA". It matches the Rfam family "Bacterial small subunit ribosomal RNA", at positions 8 to 916 of the family's 1533-position model. The record is from RNAcentral.